GCAGCUGUGGCCUACUGGUCAGGGUUUCGGACUUGUAAUCGGAGGGUUGCCAGUUUGAACCCUGACCAGUAGGA
RNAcentral lists this transfer RNA (74 nucleotides) under Alosa alosa (allis shad). RNAcentral's name for it is "tRNA-OTHER". Lineage: Eukaryota; Metazoa; Chordata; Actinopteri; Clupeiformes; Clupeidae. The record is from RNAcentral.